CUGCGACCAAGCUUUCUGACACUGGGCAGCACAUUGCACUCCAGAAUGCCUUGAUAGUCUUGAGAUUUUAUUGUACCCUGCACAGAUUCAAGACACCCUGUGCCAGAUGCAGCAAAUCAGCCCCAAAACAUAACAGAGCCC
Long non-coding RNA from Bufo bufo (common toad), 141 nucleotides. RefSeq lists it as uncharacterized. The record is from RefSeq and is a predicted model, not a curated record. Lineage: Eukaryota; Metazoa; Chordata; Amphibia; Anura; Bufonidae. The transcript has 3 exons.